AACAGCUAGAGUAUGGUAGGGGCAAAGGGAAUUUCCUGGUGUAGCGGUGAAAUGCGUAGAGAUCAGGAAGAACAUCGGUGGCGAAGGCGCUUUGCUGGACCAUAACUGACACUCAGGGACGAAAGCUAGGGGAGCGAAUGGGAUUAGAUACCCCAGUAGUCCUAGCCGUAAACGAUGGAUACUAGGUGUUGUCUGUAUCGACCCGGACAGUGCCGUAGCUAACGCGUUAAGUAUCCCGCCUGGGGAGUACGCACGCAAGUGUGAAACUCAAAGGAAUUGACGGGGGCCCGCACAAGCGGUGGAGUAUGUGGUUUAAUUCGAUGCAACGCGAAGAACCUUACCAGGACUUGACAUGUCGCGAAUCUUCUUGAAAGAGAGGAGUGCCUUCGGGAGCGCGAACACAGGUGGUGCAUGGCUGUCGUCAGCUCGUGUCGUGAGAUGUUGGGUUAAGUCCCGCAACGAGCGCAACCCUCGUGUUUAGUUGCCAUCAUUAAGUUGGGCACUCUAAACAGACUGCCGGUGACAAACCGGAGGAAGGUGGGGAUGACGUCAAGUCAGCAUGCCCCUUACGUCCUGGGCUACACACGUACUACAAUGGUACAUACAGAGGGUUGCCAACCCGCGAGGGGGAGCUAAUCUCAGAAAAUGUAUCGUAGUCCGGAUUGCACUCUGCAACUCGAGUGCAUGAAGUUGGAAUCGCUGGUAAUCGCAGAUCAGCAUGCUGCGGUGAAUACGUUCCCGGGUCUUGUACACACCGCCCGUCACACCAUGGGAGUGGGGUUUGCCAGAAGUAGUUAGACUAACCCGUAAGGGAGGUCGAUUACAACGGCAGGCUUCAUGACUGGGGUGAAGUCGUAACAAGGUAACC
RNAcentral lists this ribosomal RNA (868 nucleotides) under uncultured cyanobacterium. RNAcentral's name for it is "bacterial SSU rRNA". It matches the Rfam family "Bacterial small subunit ribosomal RNA", at positions 636 to 1501 of the family's 1533-position model. The record is from RNAcentral. Lineage: Bacteria; Bacillati; Cyanobacteriota.